UUUUCAUGUAAAAUUUACCCCUUCCCAUGGAAAUUCCUUGUAAAAAUUACCCUUCCCCAUGGAAUUUCCAUUCUAAAUUAGGCCUUCCCAUGAUAGAAUUUCCAUUUAAAAUAAUUGGCCCUGUCCAUGGAAUUUCCAUGUGUAAAUUACCCCUCCCUAUGGAAUUUCCAUCAUGGGACAUUUACUCCCGGAAAUUUCCCUCUAACAUAUGUCCUCCCAUGGAAUUUCCAUCCCAUCAAAUUUACCCCUUGGCCCUCCCUUUGGAAAUUCCAUGUGAGAAUUACUCCUCCCCUUGGAAAUCCAGAGCCUGAAUGAUCACAGAGAUCAUCCUUGAACAGUGCGAAGUUCGCAAUGCAAUCAACAGUCUGAAUCCCAAUAAAGCCUUUGGUCCUGACAACAUACCCACACGUUUAUUGAAGGAAUG
This is a non-coding RNA of Paramuricea clavata, 424 nucleotides long. NCBI's taxonomy places the organism in Eukaryota, Metazoa, Cnidaria, Anthozoa, Malacalcyonacea, Plexauridae. The record is from the annotation of a GenBank genome assembly.